This is an RNA transcript of Epinephelus fuscoguttatus (brown-marbled grouper), 2716 nucleotides long. It is a transcript of the gene named equilibrative nucleoside transporter 2-like, with no coding region annotated. The transcript has 14 exons. NCBI's taxonomy places the organism in Eukaryota, Metazoa, Chordata, Actinopteri, Perciformes, Serranidae. The record is from RefSeq and is a predicted model, not a curated record.
UUAAAAAGUUAUUUGACAUGCCUCCACCUUUCUUGCACCACCUCUUAAAUCAAGAACAGUCCCUGGGCUGAUGUAUUGUAAUUAAGUUCAUUUUCAAAAGCUAAAAGGAGGGUUUAUGAUUGGAAAAUUUAGAUUUAUUAAUAUAUUUUGCCAGUAGAAUUGAACAGGUGAUACAUUACCCUACUGAUGUGCUUUUGUAGAAAAGUAAGUAGCUUAGAAAAGCCAAACUGUACAUUAAAGGGAAAUCAGUGUGCUAUGCUGGGAAAUAAAAGAACAGACAUCUUUCCAAAUAACACGUGAGAGGGGGGAGGACCCAAACAGAUGUGUCAAUCAUCUGUAAUCAGUUAACAAAUGUUCUUCAUGUCUUUAUAGAAACAACUUGGUGAUAAAAAAAAAUCUGCAUAAACUAGUUUCCCUCAUUAACCACUGUGCAGCACGCGCUGGCAACACUCCAUAAAGUCCCGGAAGAAGGCACACGAGGUCUUCCUCUUUAACCGUCAUCACUGUCCGCCCGCGCCAGAUGCUCCAUUCAUUCAAACAGAACCUGACGCACGAGGACCUCCCUGCGACCCUCAGAAACGUGACAGAAGCAACAGCAUGUGGAACGAGAAGAAACAGAGUCCACCUGCUGACCGCGGUCAGGCUGUAGCCGCCAUCAUCUUUGUGCUCGGUCUGGGAACUCUGCUGCCCUGGAACUUCUUCAUGACGGCCUCUCAGUAUUUCAACAAGCGCCUCAUGACGCCGAACAUCACCUCCAACGGCACAUCAGGCGCCACAGCCAAAGACUACAACUACGACAGCUGGAUGGCCUUGCUUUCCCAGCUGCCCCUGCUGCUGUUCACGCUGCUCAACUCUUUCCUGUAUCAGUGGGUGAGGGAGCGUCUCCGUGUGGCCUUCAGCAUGAUCGUCAUCCUCAUCCUCUUCUCCCUCACUGCCGCUCUGGUCCAGGUCCCCAUGCAGCCGGACACCUUCUUCUCCGUCACCAUGGCGACCAUCUGGUUCAUCAACAUGUUUGGUGCGGUGCUGCAGGGCAGUCUGUUCGGUGUGGUCGGUCUGUUUCCUCCUCGUUACAGCACUCUGUUCAUGAGCGGUCAGGCUCUGGCCGGGAUCUUCGCUGCACUCGCGAUGCUCCUCUCCAUCUUAAGUAACGCAGAUGAAAGCUCGGCAGCGUUGGGAUACUUUAUCACUCCGUGUGUGGCCACUCUGGGGACUCUGGUGUGUUACCUGCUGCUGCCACACCUGAAAUUUGCUCGUUUCUACCUGAACAGAAGUCAGUGUGAGAAUGUGGACACGAAACAGGAACUCCUCAGCAGCACAGAGAAGAAAGUCUUGAACAACGAGAAAGAACUCGAGGCCCAUGGGAAGUUCAUCAUGGAGCCAGAGGAGAACCAGGAGCGUUCGUCGGUCCUGAACGUCUUCAAGAAGAUCUGGCUGAUGGCUGCCUGUGUGACGUGUGUGUUUGCCGUCACCCUGGCAGUGUUUCCUGUGAUCACAGUGCGAGUUCGGACCGUCUACACGGGCAACGCUGCCUGGGAAAAAGUGUUCACUUGCGUUUGCUGCUUCAUCGUCUUCAACGUCAUGGACUUGGUCGGCCGCAGCGCCCCGUCUCUUGGCCAGUGGCCCUCGAAGGACAGCCUCCUGUUUCCCGCCGCCGUGUUGUCUCGUCUGGUCUUCAUUCCUCUGCUCAUGCUGUGUAACGUCCACAACUCCAGACUCACCGUCCUCUUCAGCCACGACUGCGCCUUCGUCACCAUCAUGGCCCUGUUCGCCUUCACCAACGGAUACCUGGCGAGCCUCUGCAUGGCCUACGCUCCACAGUUGGUGCGGUAUAAAGACUGCGAGACGGCCGGCUCCCUGAUGACCUUCUUCCUCGUGCUGGGUCUGGCAAUAGGAGCGUCUUUCUCCUUCCUACUGGGAAGACUGGUUUAGACGACUGGGUUGAGCAAACCACGUGAGACUCAAACAAAACAAAGCACCAACAUGUGAUGAAAUGUUUAGUUCAUCCUGUCAAGAAAGAAAGAAAGAAUGAACCCAAGUACGGGCUCUUAUUUUGUCAGCAUGCUGCGAAUCUGAGUAUUUAUUUUUCACUGUAGACACAUCUUUUAUUUUUGGUCCCACCACUGGUUAAAUGAAAUUACACGGCCCCUCAAGAGUCACAUAGUUUAGAAACAAAUACCUGUAAAUCAACAUUUACGGUGUCAGUAAAUAUACAUGGAUUAUUGAAGGGAAAACUACAAUUACAGGGAUUAUUAGGGAUUAUGAAUUAUUAUUAUCAAAGAGUGUGGUUGUCUCCGGAGAGGCCAGAUUAAUAAUUUAUCAAAAACAGGAAUUUUAUUUUUUUAUUGAUUUGUACUUUUAUCACAUGGCGUAAUGAUCAACCUCAAUUAUGUGUAUUUUUUUCCCCUUUAAUUUAAAAUUCCUGCUUUUAUUCUGAAGACAAGACGAACAUUUCAGAACUCAGAGCUUUCCAAAUUAAUGUCUUUUGCUCGUCACAGUGGUUAGCAUUGGUGCCUCAUAGGAAAAGGGUUCCUGGUUUGAACCCUAGGGCGGAGUUUGCAUGUUCUCCCUGUGUCAGCGUGGGUUUCCUCCAGGUGCUCCAGCUUCCUCCCACAGUCCAAAGACAUGCAGGUUAAUUGGUGACUCUAAAUUGUCCGUAGGUGUGAAUGUGAGCGUGAAUGGUUGUCUGUCUCUAUGUGUCAGCCCUGUGAUAGUCUGG